This 455-nucleotide ribosomal RNA is filed under the name uncultured bacterium. Its description in RNAcentral is "bacterial SSU rRNA". It matches the Rfam family "Bacterial small subunit ribosomal RNA", at positions 340 to 786 of the family's 1533-position model. The record is from RNAcentral.
UACGGAAGGCAGCAGUGGGGAAUAUUGCACAAUGGGCGCAAGCCUGAUGCAGCCAUGCCGCGUGUAUGAAGAAGGCCUUCGGGUUGUAAAGUACUUUCAGCGGGGAGGAAGGCGAUGCGGUUAAUAACCGCGUCGAUUGACGUUACCCGCAGAAGAAGCACCGGCUAACUCCGUGCCAGCAGCCGCGGUAAUACGGAGGGUGCAAGCGUUAAUCGGAAUUACUGGGCGUAAAGCGCACGCAGGCGGUCUGUUAAGUCAGAUGUGAAAUCCCCGGGCUUAACCUGGGAACUGCAUUUUGAACUGGCAGGCUUGAGUCUUGUAGAGGGGGUGAAUUCCAGGUGUAGCGGUGAAAUGCGUAGAGAUCUGGAGGAAUACCGGUGGCGAAGGCGGCCCCUGGGACAAAGACUGACGCUCAGGGUGCGAAAGCGUGGGGAGCAAACAGGGAUUAGGAUACC